RNAcentral lists this unclassified non-coding RNA (480 nucleotides) under Hevea brasiliensis (rubber tree). Lineage: Eukaryota; Viridiplantae; Streptophyta; Magnoliopsida; Malpighiales; Euphorbiaceae. The record is from RNAcentral.
UUAAAUUCGAAGAAAUCGACACGGCCAUCGUGAUUACGAUCAACAGAGCAGAUCAUCUGUUGAACUCUGUCGAUCUCCUUAGCUUCGGGCAUUCCAAGUUUAUUCAACACUACUUGAAGUUCAUGUGCAGAAAUGUAGCCAUCGCCGUCUUCAUCAAACACCUUGAAAGCCUCCGACAGAUCAGAUUCUUCCUGCGUCAUUGCAUCCUGUACAUCCUCCGUAUUCUCCUCGUCGUAGGUAAAGAAGGUUUCAUCCAGCGAUUGGUGAAGUGAUACAAAAUCUUCAAACAAAAGGCCAUCAUUGCCAGGCCUAAUGUGAGAUCUGAUGGUAGAUUCAAGUUCGGAGAAGUCAGCAUCGAGGCCAAGAAGGCUGAGCGCUUGGCUAAGGUCCUGGACUGUGAUCAUUCCAUCGCCAUUCUUGUCGAAGAGGUCAAAGAUGCGGCGGAGACGGAGGGAAUUGAGGCUAGGGCUACGUAGGCGG